AUCUUUUUUAAUUACUCAUUUCAAGUAAAUAAAUAUAUAAAAAUUUUUUCAAAGUGUGGGUUUUAAAUACACGCGCGAAAAAGAUCGCGCGGAGAUUGAUAAUGAUCCUUCCGCAGGUUCACCUACGGAAA
This 131-nucleotide unclassified non-coding RNA is filed under the name uncultured fungus. Its description in RNAcentral is "sequence contains ITS1". Lineage: Eukaryota; Fungi. The record is from RNAcentral.